GAUGAACGCUGGCGGCGUGCUUAACACAUGCAAGUCGAACGGAAAGGCCCAAUCUUGCUUGGGUACUCGAGUGGCGAACGGGUGAUUCACCCGUGGGUGCUCUGCCCUGCACUUCGGGAUAAGCCUGGGUAUCUUGGUCUAAUACCCGAUCUGCCCACAUUUUCGAUGGUGUGCUGGAAAGUUUUUCGGUGUGGGAUGGGCUCGCGGCCUAUCAGCUUGUUGGUGGGGUAAUGGCCUACCAAGGCGGCGAAGGGUAGCCGGCCUGAGAGGGUGUACGGCCACAUUGGGACUGAGAUAGGGACCAGACUCGUAUGGGAGGCAGUAGGGGGGAAUAUGGCACAAUGGGCGCAAGCGUGAGGCAGCGACGCUGGGGGGGUGAUGAGGGCCUGCGGGGUGUAAACUCCUUUCGCUAGGGACGAAGCGGAAGUGACGGUACCUGGAGAAGAAGCACCGGCUAACUACGUG
Molecule: ribosomal RNA, 465 nt
Filed under: uncultured bacterium
Lineage: Bacteria
Description: partial 16S ribosomal RNA
Rfam family: Bacterial small subunit ribosomal RNA
Source: RNAcentral